Molecule: non-coding RNA, 1229 nt
Filed under: Pan troglodytes (chimpanzee)
Lineage: Eukaryota; Metazoa; Chordata; Mammalia; Primates; Hominidae
Source: RNAcentral
GGGGGAGAAUGGGCAUCCCACCCCAGCACUUUCUAGGAAGGAGGGCAGCAUUUUGAAGGGCUGGAAGUAGAGGAAGGAGGUUGCGGGUAGAAGACUCCAUACUUUCUGUGAUGCCUAUUCCUUAGCUUGAGAUGAAUGUUUUCUCAGUAUCCUAUGCUGAAAACAGGUAGAUACUAAUAUCGAUCUUCAAGGGAGGGCUGUUGAGUUUUGAAUAAGACAAAAACAUGGAAGCAAUCAGCACCAUGCUGGAAUCAAGGCUAUCUGUAAUCACAGGGCUAUUUGAAAAAGAGAAGAAAAGGUGUCUUGAAAUUCAACCAACAUGUUUCAAUUAUUUGCUCCUAAGAACAACAGAAGUUUCAACAUUCUGCCAACAAAGUAACUCCUGGAAGAUUGGCACAGAAGAAGGCACAAGGAGAGCCUUUAUAUAACCAAAGAUAUUUUUGGACCAUGAAUUCGGAAAUUCUCGGAGCCACCCAUCAGUGCCUGAGCUUCAGUGAGUCCAUAUCCCAUGUCACCCACGGCAAAGGAGAAUCUAAGACUUCUGAAGAGUUUCUUGCUUCUUUCCUGUGGGGCAGUGACUCCACUUCCCAGCAGUAAUGGAAUAUCCUGAAUUAGCUACAUUAAUGUUAGAACCAUUUGGACCUCACCCAGGACUUCAACUACAUUAUGGUUCUAGUAUGUUAGGUUUAUGUUCCCCUGCUUUCUACAAUCCUGUUCAAAGAGUUGCUGACUUAACCACAGAGAGGAUUCCAGAACAUGAGACACAGAAUAAACUUGAGCAAUCAUAGUCCAUCCACUUCAUUUUCUCAUCAAAAACCAAAGGUCCAGUGAAGCUCUGGAACUCAACGCUGUAAAGGAGCGAAGGAGCUUCUAUACAGAGCCUGGAUGCCUGUCUCCUUAUCCUACUUCAGUGGACUUGACUGCAAUCCGGACUAUGCUGUUUUCUAAGCAUUUAAAAUAAAAUAAAAAGUGUAAUAGUGUGAUAAGUUCUUUCACAAAGCAAGUGAUCACAUUUAUGUUUCUACUUACAUUUGGGUUUUCCAAAUAUGUGUGUGUGUGUGUGUGUGUGUGUGUGUGUAUGUGUGUAUGUAGACUUUAAACAUGGUGCAUCCAUCAUGUUGCAAUAAAUCAAAACCACCAAAUAAUGACGUAGAACUAAUAAAUCAAAACCAUCAAAUAAUGACAUAGAAAUCCAAUUCUCCCACCUUACACCCAUUAAGAUGGCUACU